Molecule: long non-coding RNA, 2430 nt
Organism: Lolium perenne
Lineage: Eukaryota; Viridiplantae; Streptophyta; Magnoliopsida; Poales; Poaceae
Source: RefSeq, a predicted model, not a curated record
UCCGCACGACCGGCCUCGUUCGGGAGUAGCGACCACCACUUGGUGACCACGAUCUGAAAGCCUCGCCGGACACGCCGCCGGUGCCUACCCUAAUCCCGGCGCAAAUAUACCGUGCCGCCGCUCGCCGGACGCGCCGCCGAAUCAGCUCUCUCCCUCUACACUCCAUUUCUGCACCUCGGCCGCCUCGCCUAGCAGGUCGCCAGCCUCACCUGCUGGCACUCGAGCUCGCCGGCGUCCUCCAGGAACAGCCCGGGAUUUCUGCACCUCUCGGCAGAUUUACGGCACCCGAACUGCCCGAGAUUUCUGCACCUCUCGGCAGAUACACGGCACCCGAACCUCCCGGGAUCUCACACUCUGAACCCCCGCGGCGGCAUCGUCCCUAAUCUCCAGUUCUCCACCACCACUUCCUCGACGGUGAUUUCCAACUGACACUUGAGAACACCUCAACACAGCUAAGGUGGAAGGCUGUCACUUUAUCCUAUUAAAAAAUCUAUCGCUGAGGCUAUUUAUCCAUAAUACCUGCAACCUCAAAGCUUGGCCUUGAAUGGACUGUUCCUAAAUUCUCAAGAUUAUAGUAAAACUUAUAAGCUUGGAGCUAGAUGUUGGUAAUACUGCUAAUUCCCUUACAAUAUAUAUGCCGAUCAGUGGAAGUAUGUCAUGUUGGAGAUUAGCCAUUGAUUAAUAUUCCAAAUUUCAUUGGCCGGUGAGAUGUUUGUUGAACUUGUGUCAUUCACCAUUAUUGGAUAUCUCUCUUUUGGGUUCAAAGGACUUAAUUCUUUUAAGGUUAAUAUUCACAUGGGCCACAUGAAUUUACUACCACUAGAAACUUUAGCUCCUCUGAAACAAGAAACUGAUAUUUGAUAACUGGCUGUAGCUUCAAUUCCCACUGCAAUUGGAAUACCUUGAGAUAUCAUCUAAUUAUAAUUAGUUGGUAUGUUCUCCCCAAAAAUAUGUGUGUGCGCUGAUUGCUUUGUUUCAACAAGUCAAGUCAUUCUAGCUUGUCAGGCCCGUUAUGAAAAAGAUACUCCCUCCGUCCCUAAAAAAGCUGCUCAACUUUAUCUAUGGAGGUAUAUAAACACAUUUUAGUUAUAGAUAUACUAGUAUCUAGAAAAAGUUGAGCAGCAUUUUUUUUGGGGAUGGAGGGAGUAUUAUGGUUAAGUUCACAUCUGCUAGCUUCUUACUGACUACUGCUGGUGGUAGCAACAGCCAACAGUUGCUUGUGCUGUUUGAUUUUUUGUUUUGUUCAUAAUGUCAAUAAGUGCUCUCAGACAUUACAUUUGUAGUAUACUAGGUGAAAUCUACAGAGGUCUUGAUGGUUUGCCUAAUGUGUAGGUAAUAUGUAAGAUAAAAAAUAUUGUAUCACAUGACUCAGAUGAGAAGCUAAUUUUUGUGGAGACUUUUCAGUGUUUUUCUGGCCAUGGGACUUUACUUACUUCUUAAUCCAGCUUUACAUAUCAAUGCAUGGGAUUUACCUUGUGGCUUGUGAAGCAUGGAUAACAGGGUUUAUGGACUCCUACAUUGAAUCGAUUUUUCCUAUUGGAUACUAUAUAAUACCAAUAAAAUCAUGAUGCCUUGUAGAUGACAACAAAUUCGUUUUCAGAGAUCACUGAUGGGUGCUUUGCUGCAGGCAUGGAUUAUUUGAUAUCUAAGCCAAUGUACCUCCAGAAAACAAAAGAGUGCAUGCAACAGUAUUUUUGUCUCAGUAAUUAACCAAGUGUUGUAAAGUAGAAAGUUAAAUUCUAGCUUAGGAAAGUUUUGUGAAAUGACAUCAGUCUUUUAUUGUGAAAACUGAAUUGGUAUUUCUUCAGGCUGGCUGGCCUUGUAUCUUCUAAAGCAUAAGGUACUCAUUCAUCAUGAUCAAGAACUCACGGGGAAGUUGAGGAAAACAACAGGCAGCGAUGCAUCUGCCCUUUCACUUGGCAUCUGCCACAGUUCCUGAGCAACUACGACCAUCAGUGCAGCGCCCACAUGUCCUUGGCUCUGCACUCGGAAAUUAUGUUGUUUUCAUCCAAAUUAAUUGUACAACAGCCAAAGGAAUUAUAUUUAGAUACAUUCAGUUGCACGGGGUAUUAAUUUUCUUAUUCCGAAGACGUGCUGGGAUGGUGACGGUGACGUGAAGUUGCUGAUGAUGCUUAUCAAUUCAAACUGAGUGAUAUGCACGCUUGAACUAACUUAGUCAACGGCCAGGUUUUGACGCAUGCAUGUAAGCUAUGCGCAUGUACAUGCUUUUAAAGGGAAUAUGUACAUGUACUUGCUGGUGAAUAUUUCAAACACGAAUCAGGUCAACUGGAGAAAAGGGUCGAAUUCGAGAAAACAAAAAAUGAUAUGAUGAUAUGAUAGAUUAAAAUGUUGGUAUUGUUACAUCCUUCAGGAGAACAAAAGCUGAGCUAAAUGUCACUAAGGAUACCCCUUCGGCGAGGUCAGAGCAAU